GCUACGAUUUAGGGCACUUUCUAGAAAUAAUUUCAACUCUUCCAAGUUUCUACUUCGAAUAACGUUGGAGAAGAACAUCAAUCGUACACAUUGUUCCGUCAAAUCUCGUUGAUUUGGGGUUUGUUUUGUUGGGUUUUAGUUAGGGUUUCGGAAAAUUAGAAAUGAAUGGUGAAGGCGAUGAAGAUAUGAAAAUGGAGAUGAAGUGUGAGGAGAAGUCAGUGUAUAUGUGGGGAUAUUUACCUGGAGCGUUACCUCAAAGGUCGCCGAUAUUGUCUCCGGUGGAAGUUAGGCUCCCGCAGUCAAUUGACGCUGGUCGGCUCUGGGCAGAUGUCUGUGGCGGCGGUUGUGGAUUUGCUAUGGCCAUUUCAGACACAGGGAAGCUAAUCACAUGGGGUUCAACAGAUGAUCUCGGUCAAAGCUAUGUGACAUCAGGGAAGCAUGGGGAAACGCCAGAACCUUUCCCUCUUCCGAAAGAAGUUUCAAUAGUGAGAGCUGCAGCAGGUUGGGCGCAUUGCGCCUGUGUAACAGUGGCAGGGGAGGUUUAUACAUGGGGAUGGAAAGAGUGUGUUCCCUCUGGGAAAGUUGUUGGAGACCCAAACACGGCUCAAAGUCAAGAUAAAGAUGUAUUUGAGAGGCAGAAUCCGUUUUUGACGGAACAAGGUAAUCCAAUUUCGACUCUAUGCCAGUCAUUGCAGGAGCUUUUGCAACUGUUAUUAACUAAAAUUCCCAAACGUACUAUAGUUAGCCCUCGAUCCCACGGUUCAAGAUCCACUGGUGGUGCAGCCUCUGGCGUGGACGGUAAAGCAAUUGGGGAUGAAAAUACUAAGAGGAGACGUGUAUCAUCAACCAAACAAGUGGUUGAAAGCUCAUCGUCGGGUGAUGAGCCUCUCUCGGCUUUGCCCUGUUUGGUAGCAUUGAAUCCGGGAGUAAGGAUAGCAACAGUUGCAGCUGGUGGUCGACAUACGUUGGCAUUAUCAGUUUCAGAUAUCGGACAGGUGUGGGGUUGGGGCUAUGGAGGUGAGGGGCAGCUAGGUUUGGGGUCUCGCAUACGAAUGGUAUCUUCACCGCAUCCUAUACCCUGCAUUGCUACAUCUUCUGUAGGAAAAGAUAGAUCUGCAGCCCUUCCCAGAGGAAGCAUGGGCUCAGAAGGGCAGGGUUAUAGAGUCCCUGGAAAUUACAUAAAAGGGAUUGCUUGUGGAGGACGACACAGUGCUGUAGUUACUGAUGCUGGGGCAUUAAUGACUUUUGGUUGGGGACUCUACGGACAGGUGAAAUUCCCUCGUUUUGAAAAUAUUUGUUCUAUUCUGUUUUCUUGUUCUGCUGUCUCUGUUUUUUUGGCAUCCUCUUACAAACGAUAUGUGUGAUUCUCGUGUGGAACUUGGACAAUGAUUCAAUGAUUUUCACUUAUUACAUGGUUUUGUUUCUUGUUUGCUUCAAGUGGGUGUGUUGAUACUCCAAUAGGGAGUAUGUUCGCAUGAGUGAAGAUGGAUAUCCACUAUCCAGCUGCCAAUAUGAAGCUUUCUACAAUGUAUUGGUGUCAUCAUCAUAUUUUUUCCUUAUACUAUUAAAGUUCACAACUUAACGUCUUUUAAGAAAUAAAUUUUAGAUGUGUCAUUUGCUACAGCACAUAAGGGAGCCCUAUAUUACUUUUGGACAAAGUUUUGUUUUCUUGCUAGAAGUCAUUGUUCAGUUGAUUCUUUUGCUCCUAUGAAAAUACAUUUCUUUGGGACCAAGGGGCUGCUCAUCAUUCACUUAAAUUCAAUUGGACAGGAUGUGAGGAUUUUAUUAACUGAACUACUUGUAUAUAGUGAACUGAGUCCUGGAUGGCAAUUUAUAUUCCAGGAAUAAAAGUAGAAAGAUAACUUUCAAAAUUAUCUUACUGGGCCUAAGGCCCAUGCAAUGCAUGGGUGUCCUAUGUUAGUUUGACCACUUCUCCAUUGAAAUAUGAUAUGAUAAGAUCUGGAAUUUUUAUGGCAAUGAAGUAUUUCUCCAUCUUUGGUCUCAUAAUAUUGUUGAUACUUGCAAGUCAAGUGUUCUUAAGUAGAUCAUAGAUUGUAAGCACAUAGUCGAUUUAGACAAGGGUUUCACGGUGCAGAAAACCCUGUAAAUGAUAUAUGUAGUUGCACAGUCUAUCAACCAAACUUUAAAGAGUGGACCAACAUAAAUAAUCAACCAACCACUUUUUAUUUCAUGAAUGCGAAAAGCAUAAACAUUUCAAUUGCCGAGGUAGUUUGAUCCUAUUUGUAUAUAUAAAUUAGUUUAAUUGUAUUUAGGAUUUUUUUAAUUGGUUGGAUUUUAGCUCUUUAAAGACUUGAUUAUCUGGAAGAGUUGUAAUUGAUCCUGAGGUGCUUUGAUUUGUUGGAAAAUUUUCCAAUUACAAAAUAUCGGUCUGAAAUGACUUCUCGGCACAUACAAAUUAAUGACGGAACUAUGUGGGGUUUCCACAACAAAUUUCGAAAAGCUGGACUCCCCACAAUUUUCAUGUGAAAAGAGGGUAUGGGAGGGGCUUUCCUUUGUCACACAAGUAUGAAUGGUAGCUGCAUGUUUACUUUGAUACAAUUACACAUCUUCCAUUUUAUUCUGACUAUGUGAUUGAAGUCCAAUGAAACAUUCAAGUCUCAACUUGCUGCUUCCUUGCGCAUGUAAUGGUCAUUUGGUACCCUUGGGCAAAAGUGGCUCAUGAGAUGUGCAACAUUGUUGAUAUGCUCCUUCUCGACAGCUAGAGCUAGGAGAAAGAGGUCAUGGUGGAGAUAGGUUUACACACUAUGCUACCCUUUUCAUAAAGCUCCGCAAGAGAGAGAGCUAUGCUUAGGUCAGUUCCUUCACUCCACCUUUUAGGUAAGCCAAAAGUUCACUUGUUGGAUUGAGGGAAGGCUUUCCUUCUUUGUUGACUUCAUUUAAGUUGGACCAGCCUCUUUUUGGGUUUCCAUACCUCGGGACUUUAUUAAAAAGAGAAGAAAUAUAAAAUGUUCCCUCAGGAGUCUCGUGGAAGUGCUUAUUUCUAUUUAAUCACAUGGAGGAUGUGUUCGUAUUGGAGUUCAAAGUUCAGACUAAAGGUAGGCAUUGACCACCCAAGUGUCAGGAGUUGAAGAUAGAGGGAUCCAUUAUGGAGAAUGUUGACAACGUUGAGAAAGUCUUAGUGAAACUUUCUAUGGGAAGUGUCAACAAUGAUGAGAAUAUUGGGGUUUCAAAGGUCGAAAAUGUUGACACUUACAAAUGGCUAAGCAAUGAGAGCGAGUAAACCUCUAUGACGAAUGAGGUUUGUUCAACACACGUGGAGGACAAAUUGGUUCAGCAACUGAGCCAUGCCUUGUGGAUUGCACAAGUUGCAAGCUAGAUGAUUACAUUGUUAACGAUUAACCAUGUAUAGGUAGUUAUAUCGCGGAUAUGGUGAGGAAGUUGGUGCGAUACUUGUCCACAUGAAAGCACAAGGGUAUUAAUCCAAAUGUUCAGAGAUUACAUUAAAUCAUGGAACAUGGGACUGAUGCAAGUUAAAUCGGUAGAGUGGUCAUUGAUAAAUAUUGAAGUGCCAUCGUGAACGAACUAAAAUUCUGCACACCUCGACAUAGGACCGGAAAAUGCAAGUGAUAGUCCUUUUCAUUUACAAAAUUUAUUUUAUUUCUUUCCUUUGGAAGUUUAGAUCUAAAGGGCUAAAUUAUUAGGUUAACCUUUGCAUUUCGAUUGUGCCUGCAUUUGCCUUGCCUAGGGGUCUAGGAUAGAAUGUUUAGGACUGAGAACCUGUUUACUGAAAGCAAGAUUCAAUUCAAAAGAGUUACUCUCCCAGCUGUUUCAUUUCUCAUGCCUUUGUAAGCUGUGGGAACCUGCAAGGAACUGAUUUCGUUCUUCAAUCAUGCCAUUCGGGUUCACACCUGUGUUAUAACACCUAUCCUGAAAUCAGUUAAUCUAGUAGGACAAAGCCUUGAGGAAAUGAUUGCUGUUUCAUUAUAGUCCAACUUUGAUUGUUUUCCGCUUAUGUGGGUCUGCAUUGCACAUUGUAAUGUGUCUUGUAGAGAAAUCGUCUUCUUUGUCGAUCAAACAUGUUCAAUUUUUUUGGUUGGUACUAAUCAAUAUGAAGUAUUCUCAUAUCAAAUUAUGGGUGAGUGUGCAUGGAUCCUUGGUAUGACUUAAGGACAAUGAAAUACCGUAAUUACUAAUGUUCUUCAUUUCCUAGAAAGUGGGUUUUUGCUGGUUAUAUCAAUUUUUUAUAGGUUAUUUACGCCAUUUGUUAGAAAUGCAUGCCUGUGCAGGUCCUCAUAUUUUGGGGUCCUCUAAGCAUGAUUUUGCAAGGUAAUGAAUUCAUAGGGUGGUCUCUUUGCUCCAUCUACCACUUGAGAAUGAGUCACUAGUACUAGGUUGUUAGCAGAGCAAGUCAAUAUCUUGGAUGAGUCACUAGUACUAGGUUGUUAGCAGAGCAAGUUAACUUUUACCAUUGGGAUGGCCUUCUUUUUAUAGGUGAAUAUGAUUGGUUAACGAUUGGAAAAGUUGAAGUGCAGGCUUAGAUGACCGUUUGAAUGAAUAACUAUCAGCGGUAUAGGUGUAUUAAAUGCUUUCCCACCUUAGAUUUGGUUGUGCCUCUUCUUUCGGUCAAUGAGAUGUGGCACUUGAAAGAUUAUGGAGCAUGGAUGUUUUUGUUGCGUUGUCGGUUUAGCAAGCCUCUUAAAUUUGUGGUGGGUUUGGCAUGUGAAUGCAGAGCCAAAGUCCUUUUAACUGGAUUAGUUCUUAAUGGUAGUAGAUCACGGCCUUUACGGCUGCGGGGGAUCCUAUCACAAAGUGCAGUAAACUAUGAACACACAAAUCGAUUUUCUACCUCUGUUACCUACUUGUACUUGCAGUUACCACGUGUACAUUCCUACCACAUUCUAUCCUUUUUGGUUUGAUUAGUGACUGCUGCACUUUUUUACUUGAUUACUUGGGAAUGUUAAACAGUGUCCUUGGGUAGCGGGACAUGUAGAGGGCUGCAUUGGACUUGCUGGAGCUCAGAGUGUAGACUCUUAUCACCAGGGGAUAGAAAUUGCUGGUUAUGCAAGCAAUGGGUUAAUUAGGAGCUGUGUUAUGAUUUCUCCCUUGAGUGUGUCUGUUGUGUUCACCUUGAAUUGCUUUAUUUUUUCACUGAUGGAUAAGCUUUGUUCUUUUUGCUAAUGCAUUUCCAUGGGUCUUGUAUUGGGCAUAUUUAAGUUUUUAAUAUACGUCAAGAGAACAAGAGGUGAUUUGGUGGCAUUGACGAUUUGCAACUUCGACAAGAAUGACUGUGACAGAAAAGGUGAAUCGUCACAAUGUAUUAUCAAUUGACAGGAGAGGGAUACCCAAGCAGUCAAUGAUAAUAUUGAAGAGCAUCAUAGCUCUCUUUAUGACUGCUCAAGCCGCAUUUAAUCCUUCAAAGAGAAAAGGCGUGUGUUCCCGACUAGACAAUGGCAAAACUUAAUUAAGUGUUUUAUUCUUUGAUUAUUUAAUAAAUGCUUAUUAUGAGGUUCCCGUCCUUUGCUCAUUUGAUUACCGUCCUAUUUUGAUGAUUUUCUGUGAUGGCAGGUAGAUAAGCAUACAUAGGUAUGGUUAGUGUUCUGAUGAGAGGAAUAAGACAUAGAGGAUCUGACUGGGAUCUCGUUGCCAUAUAUUGUGCAAGCAACACGAGUCUACUCUUUGUUACUUGGUGUAAUACCUUUUGAGUUGCAUCAUUGUGAUUAAAUCCUCUAGCCUCUAGGGACAUUAGGAUAGCUGAGGAGUCUUGCCUUUUUUGAUGGUUCUUGUCUUGGUUCAAGUGGUAGAAACCAUAGGGAUUACUUGGCUAUGUAUGCAUUUUGAAGUCUUAUAUCUCUUUCAUGUAUGAAAAUCAUAUACUGAUGAAUAAACUAAUUUAAGAGAUAAUUAAACCUAGAACAAAACAAAGUUGAAAAUCUUUAAUAUAUUUUGCACCUCAUUGGGCCGAAGACGGCAACAAGUUUUUAAUUUUCUGUUCAUUGGACAUUAAUUAUUUCGAGAAGUAAAGAAAUUAUGUGUAAACCUUUAUAUCCAACUUGGAUGAACUGUAUGUUCAUUCUGAGUUAUCGGUAGGCAGGAAUUGGGUGCUGUGGGUAUAGUCUAGUGGCUAUUAUGAUAGAAUGUUGUUGAAGUCUAUCAGCUAACAAACUAACACAUAUUUAGGGUGGAUGAUUGUGCUCUUGAAGUUGCUUUUAGUAAUUAACCACGUAUUUUCUUGCAAUUGUUGCUAAAUGCAAAACCCUGUGGUACGGAUUCUGUCAUAUGUUUAUGGUAUUGAGCAAAUGGUGAUGAUGGUUUGUGCAUGCUCAUUAUGUUUUAUAUGUUGAGUUCUUGUUGCUGAAUUGGUGGAGAUUCCACGAUAUUGACUUGCUCUGCAAAAUCAACAUGUAGGUAAGGUAGAAAUGAUGGAGAAAAAGCAGACUGAAUGUUCAAGAUGAAGUUCUAUAUGAAAGGCGAUAAAACAGACAUUUUUGAAUUAUAUCUAUGUUCUUCAUUUUCCAUUUUUGUUGCAAGAUUAUGGCGAUUGCAUGUUGGGAUUCUAAGCUGUGAUCAUAUUUCGUGCUGUAGUGUGGGCAAGGAAGUACUGAUGACGAGCUGAGCCCUACAUGUGUAUCAUCCUUGCUGGGUAUCAGGAUAGAGGGUGUUGCUGCUGGUCUCUGGCAUACAAUCUGCAUUUCAGCUGAUGGUGAUGUGUAUGCUUUUGGUGGGAAUCAAUUUGGCCAAUUGGGUACAGGCACUGAUCAAGCUGAGACGUUGCCAAGGCUUUUGGAUGCUCCUAGCCUGGAAAAUGAACAUGCAAGAGUUGUAUCUUGUGGGGCACGACACAGUGCUGUAGUUACUGAGGGGAAGGUGUUCUGCUGGGGAUGGAACAAGUAUGGCCAGCUGGGCUUGGGAGAUGU
Molecule: RNA transcript, 6875 nt
Organism: Cynara cardunculus var. scolymus (artichoke)
Lineage: Eukaryota; Viridiplantae; Streptophyta; Magnoliopsida; Asterales; Asteraceae
Gene name: ultraviolet-B receptor UVR8-like
Exons: 10
Source: RefSeq, a predicted model, not a curated record